This 253-nucleotide ribosomal RNA is filed under the name uncultured bacterium. RNAcentral's name for it is "partial 16S ribosomal RNA". It matches the Rfam family "Bacterial small subunit ribosomal RNA", at positions 524 to 776 of the family's 1533-position model. The record is from RNAcentral.
UACGUAGGGGGCAAGCGUUGUCCGGAAUCAUUGGGCGUAAAGCGCGUGUAGGCGGCUUCGUAAGUCCGUUGUGAAAGUCCAGGGCUCAACCCUGGAAUGCCGAUGGAUACUGCGGAGCUAGAGUCCGGAAGAGGCGAGUGGAAUUCCUGGUGUAGCGGUGGAAUGCGCAGAUAUCAGGAGGAACACCCAUAGCGAAGGCAGCUUGCUGGGACGUUACUGACGCUAAGGCGCGAAAGCGUGGGGAGCGAACAGG